AUUGAACGCUGGCGGCAGGCUUAACACAUGCAAGACGAACGAUGAAGAUAUAGCUUGCUAUAUCGGAUUAGUGGCGGACGGGUGAGUAACACUUAGGAAUCUACCUUUUAGCGGGGGAUAGCUCGGGGAAACUCGAAUUAAUACCGCAUAAUUUCUACGGAAUAAAGAGGGCUUUUAGCUCUCACUAGAAGAUGAGCCUAAGUAAGAUUAGCUAGUUGGUGGGGUAAAAGCCUACCAAGGCGACGAUCUUUAGCUGGUCUGAGAGGAUGAUCAGCCACACUGGGACUGAGACACGGCCCAGACUCCUACGGGAGGCAGCAGUGGGGAAUAUUGGACAAUGGGGGCAACCCUGAUCCAGCCAUGCCGCGUGUGUGAAGAAGGCCUUUUGGUUGUAAAGCACUUUAAGCAGUGAAGAAGACCUAUUGGUUAAUACCCAAUAGCGAUGACAUUAACUGCAGAAUAAGCACCGGCUAACUCUGUGCCAGCAGCCGCGGUAAUACAGAGGGUGCAAGCGUUAAUCGGAAUUACUGGGCGUAAAGCGAGCGUAGGUGGUUAAAUAAGUCAGAUGUGAAAGCCCUGGGCUCAACCUAGGAACGGCAUCUGAAACUAUUUAACUAGAGUAGGUGAGAGGGAAGUAGAAUUUCAGGUGUAGCGGCGAAAUGCGUAGAGAUCUGAAGGAAUACCGAUGGCGAAGGCAGCUUCCUGGCAUCAUACUGACACUGAGGCUCGAAAGCGUGGGUAGCAAACAGG
RNAcentral lists this ribosomal RNA (750 nucleotides) under uncultured bacterium. RNAcentral's name for it is "bacterial SSU rRNA". It matches the Rfam family "Bacterial small subunit ribosomal RNA", at positions 28 to 776 of the family's 1533-position model. The record is from RNAcentral.